Molecule: microRNA precursor, 72 nt
Filed under: Medicago truncatula (barrel medic)
Lineage: Eukaryota; Viridiplantae; Streptophyta; Magnoliopsida; Fabales; Fabaceae
Description: MIR5291 microRNA precursor family
Rfam family: MIR5291 microRNA precursor family
Source: Rfam by way of RNAcentral
GAUGGAUCAAAUCCAAUCCAUUAACAAAUUUUUUUGUUUGAUAGAUGGAUUUUGUAGUGGAUGGAUUGGAUA